Monodelphis domestica (gray short-tailed opossum) is the source of this 2075-nucleotide non-coding RNA. NCBI's taxonomy places the organism in Eukaryota, Metazoa, Chordata, Mammalia, Didelphimorphia, Didelphidae. The record is from RefSeq and is a predicted model, not a curated record.
CUGUGACCGAACGUUCUGGCUAAACGGAAGCUGUGGGUUGCCGUGGGGACGUUGGAUGUCUCACCAUCUUAUCCCAAUGGCGGGGUCCGAAGAUCCGGGACGGUUUCUUCUCCAUGGUAUCAGUCCUGCUGAUUGACCUGCAUUCCUGGCCUGAUCACAGAAGGGAGAGCUCAUGAUUCUGCCGCAGACUAAUGUGGAAACUGAGUCUCCGGAAGGUGAAGAGACUCAUGUUGACGGAGGAAAUCUCUGCCCUCAGAUUUGUACCAUGCCCAUGGCCCUCUGGGUGCCAUCUGUCCAGCCCACAGGAAAGUUGAAUCUCUAAAGCCCUACAAAUAGAAAUGGAGCGAGCCGUGGAGGGAGUGAGCGAGAGAGACUCCUCACAUCUAAAGCGGCAGUCAGGUAAGCACAGUAGAAGAAAAGGCAACACUGGACCACAGGAGACCCAGCAAAGGAGCCAGAGCAAUUAGGCAAGAAUUGGAUAGAGCAGGUUUGGCUACUGUCUGGAGGAGGAAAUGAUUACCCUCUCGGAGCUACCAUCUGGCUCUCUGUGCAUUGAGGGCUGAAUGAGCCUCUCUAGACUCGUUCCUAUCCCCGUGGAGAUGGGAUGUAGUCAUUGCUGCCUCUCUGAGCACCACACAGAUAAUGCCCCAUUAUCCACAUGUCAAUGACUUUUUUUUUUCUGAAUUUCAAGUCAACUCCCAUUCGGCUGACUAUUACCAUCAUCGUCAUUGUCGUCAUCGUCGAAAUGAUUUGAUCAUUAUUAUGAAGCAGCACGGGGAAGAGAAUCGAGAUGAAGCAGGUCUGAAAGCCAGAAGGACCUCGAUCCAAGGGCCACCUCUGACUCACACUGGCUGCGUGUGACUCUAGCAAGUCACCUUAACUUCUCGGUCCUCUCAGCAAUUCUUUCAAACUAUAAGUUACAGACAAGAUGCCAGGUUGUUAUUAGCAAGGAGGGAGGGAGGGAGGGAGGACUAAGCAUUUAUAUAGCACCUGCUAGGUGCCAAGCACUUUUACAAAUAAUAUUAUGGUGGAUAUUUAUGACAAUCCUGUACUAUUAAUAUCCCCAUAUUUCAGUUAAGGAAAGUGUUGCCCAAGGUCAUAAAUCUAACUUCAAUGUGCUAUCAGCUGCCAGAGGAAGCUCUAGAGGGAGCCUCUUCAACAAGGGAAUCCUUUACUAUCAUCUUCAUCAUCAUCUUUUUUUGAAGGAGUUCAGGUAGAACAAUCCUGAGAUUAAUUUCUAUCCUGAUCUUAUCCCUUUAUAUUGAAUAUUCUAUCAAUUAUGCGCAGACUGAUAAAAUAACUUUUUCAGUGGAAUGAAAGUGAGCCUACAAACACAUCCUCUGUAGGAUCACUGAAAGCAUCCUUGGUACAUCUCUCUCCUCAUUUUGUAAACCAGACUUGUGAUUCCGGCUAUACAGGGAAAUCGUGAUGAGGAACUUCUACAAGAGGACUUCUCAAGUCUCAGCUAAAAUCCUGUCUUCUCUGAGAAGUCUUCCCCAAACUCCCUUAAUAACAGCGCUUUUCCUCUGCUGGUUAUCUCCAAUUGAUUACAUCUGUAUCCUGUCUGAAUGUUGUUGUUUACCAGCUGCCUCCCCAGUUAGACUGUGAGCUCUUUGAGGACAAAUACUACUUUUACCUUUCUUUAUAUCCCCAGAGCCUUGAACAGUGCCUGGAAAAUAGAAGGCAGUUUACAAAUGUUUAUUGGUUUGUUGACUUCCCAAGGCAGAUCAGCACUUUCUCUGCAAUUUCUAAUGUUAGAGAGUUAUUUUAGGUACUGAGAUUAAAUGACUUGUCCAAGGUCAUAUAAUCACUGUUCAAGAGGGGAAAUGAACCCAGUAUUCCUGGUUCUGAAGCUGGCUCUUACUCCCCCCAAGUCCUUCCACUUAUCUCAGGACAACUUAAGUAGCAGAGAGAACAACAGGCAUGAUUUAUACCUGGUCUUCUUCCCACAUGAUUUUGACUCAAUCUGCCAAGUCUCUACAUUUUUGAAAUACAGAAUGGAAAGCUUUUUGAUCCAUCUAGUUCAGACAUUGAGGUCUAGGCAAGGUGGCUUCUAUUAAAAACAUCGCUCUUAA